UGGAAGGCUGAAGCAAGGGGA
This 21-nucleotide unclassified non-coding RNA is filed under the name Mus musculus (house mouse). RNAcentral describes it as "oocyte_clustered_small_RNA6540". Lineage: Eukaryota; Metazoa; Chordata; Mammalia; Rodentia; Muridae. The record is from RNAcentral.